This 529-nucleotide long non-coding RNA is filed under the name Homo sapiens (human). Its description in RNAcentral is "non-protein coding lnc-PLEKHM1-3:8". Lineage: Eukaryota; Metazoa; Chordata; Mammalia; Primates; Hominidae. The record is from RNAcentral.
UUUCAGGUUUCUGCCACGGAGGAGAUGCUCUUCACGAAGGGAGAGUCAGACGGCCGCUCUGGCUUAAAGAUAUGUACAAACCUCUCAGUGCCACAAGAGUAAAUAAUCACGCAUGGAAGCUGCACAAGAAGUCAUCUAAUGAGGACGAGAUCCUCAACAGGGACCCUGGGUAAAUGACGGAGCCCUCACAGGUCCCAUCUAAAAUGAGGAGGGGGUGAGAAGCUUAAUUGCUCCUUUCAAGAAUCAAAACCUUGGCAUUGUUAUUCUUAUCCCAGGGACAGCGAAGCCCCAACAGAGAAGGGGGAGGAGAGUGAAGCCCUGCCAUAGGAGGAGAACCCAGCCCACCUCAGGCCUCCUGCAAAAACACAUAGCAUAAACAAUACCAUCAGAAAGAAAAGCAGGACUGAAGCCAGCGGCCCACACAUCCACAGAGGCAGCGGGCAGAGCAAGCACAGGGCCAUCGUUCCUGCCCUUGUUUCCCAGUCUAAUUAGUCACCCAGACCUGAAAACAUAUCCUCAGGGGGUGGAG